RNAcentral lists this ribosomal RNA (301 nucleotides) under uncultured bacterium. RNAcentral describes it as "partial 16S ribosomal RNA". It matches the Rfam family "Bacterial small subunit ribosomal RNA", at positions 509 to 807 of the family's 1533-position model. The record is from RNAcentral.
CAGCCGCCGCGGUAAUACGGAGGGGGCUAGCGUUGUUCGGAAUUACUGGGCGUAAAGCGUACGUAGGCGGCUUUGUAAGUUAGAGGUGAAAGCCUGGUGCUCAACACCAGAACUGCCUUUAAGACUGCAUCGCUUGAACGUCGGAGAGGUGAGUGGAAUUCCGAGUGUAGAGGUGAAAUUCGUAGAUAUUCGGAAGAACACCAGUGGCGAAGGCGGCUCACUGGACGACUGUUGACGCUGAGGUACGAAAGCGUGGGGAGCAAACAGGAUUAGAUACCCCGGUAGUCCCUGUCUCUUAUAC